UACGAAGGGUGCUAGCGUUGCUCGGAAUCACUGGGCGUAAAGCGCACGUAGGCGGCUUUCUAAGUCAGGGGUGAAAUCCUGGAGCUCAACUCCAGAACUGCCUUUGAUACUGGAGAGCUUGAGUCCGGGAGAGGUGAGUGGAACUCCGAGUGUAGAGGUGAAAUUCGUAGAUAUUCGCAAGAACACCAGAGGCGAAGGCGGCUCCCUGGCCAGAUACUGACGCUGAGGCACGAAAGCGUGGGGAGCAAACAGG
RNAcentral lists this ribosomal RNA (253 nucleotides) under uncultured bacterium. Its description in RNAcentral is "partial 16S ribosomal RNA". It matches the Rfam family "Bacterial small subunit ribosomal RNA", at positions 524 to 776 of the family's 1533-position model. The record is from RNAcentral.